Molecule: ribosomal RNA, 1533 nt
Filed under: Escherichia coli
Lineage: Bacteria; Pseudomonadati; Pseudomonadota; Gammaproteobacteria; Enterobacterales; Enterobacteriaceae
Description: bacterial LSU rRNA
Rfam family: Bacterial large subunit ribosomal RNA
Source: RNAcentral
UUAAUAUUCCUGUACUUGGUGUUACUGCGAAGGGGGGACGGAGAAGGCUAUGUUGGCCGGGCGACGGUUGUCCCGGUUUAAGCGUGUAGGCUGGUUUUCCAGGCAAAUCCGGAAAAUCAAGGCUGAGGCGUGAUGACGAGGCACUACGGUGCUGAAGCAACAAAUGCCCUGCUUCCAGGAAAAGCCUCUAAGCAUCAGGUAACAUCAAAUCGUACCCCAAACCGACACAGGUGGUCAGGUAGAGAAUACCAAGGCGCUUGAGAGAACUCGGGUGAAGGAACUAGGCAAAAUGGUGCCGUAACUUCGGGAGAAGGCACGCUGAUAUGUAGGUGAAGCGACUUGCUCGUGGAGCUGAAAUCAGUCGAAGAUACCAGCUGGCUGCAACUGUUUAUUAAAAACACAGCACUGUGCAAACACGAAAGUGGACGUAUACGGUGUGACGCCUGCCCGGUGCCGGAAGGUUAAUUGAUGGGGUCAGCGCAAGCGAAGCUCUUGAUCGAAGCCCCGGUAAACGGCGGCCGUAACUAUAACGGUCCUAAGGUAGCGAAAUUCCUUGUCGGGUAAGUUCCGACCUGCACGAAUGGCGUAAUGAUGGCCAGGCUGUCUCCACCCGAGACUCAGUGAAAUUGAACUCGCUGUGAAGAUGCAGUGUACCCGCGGCAAGACGGAAAGACCCCGUGAACCUUUACUAUAGCUUGACACUGAACAUUGAGCCUUGAUGUGUAGGAUAGGUGGGAGGCUUUGAAGUGUGGACGCCAGUCUGCAUGGAGCCGACCUUGAAAUACCACCCUUUAAUGUUUGAUGUUCUAACGUGGACCCGUGAUCCGGGUUGCGGACAGUGUCUGGUGGGUAGUUUGACUGGGGCGGUCUCCUCCUAAAGAGUAACGGAGGAGCACGAAGGUUGGCUAAUCCUGGUCGGACAUCAGGAGGUUAGUGCAAUGGCAUAAGCCAGCUUGACUGCGAGCGUGACGGCGCGAGCAGGUGCGAAAGCAGGUCAUAGUGAUCCGGUGGUUCUGAAUGGAAGGGCCAUCGCUCAACGGAUAAAAGGUACUCCGGGGAUAACAGGCUGAUACCGCCCAAGAGUUCAUAUCGACGGCGGUGUUUGGCACCUCGAUGUCGGCUCAUCACAUCCUGGGGCUGAAGUAGGUCCCAAGGGUAUGGCUGUUCGCCAUUUAAAGUGGUACGCGAGCUGGGUUUAGAACGUCGUGAGACAGUUCGGUCCCUAUCUGCCGUGGGCGCUGGAGAACUGAGGGGGGCUGCUCCUAGUACGAGAGGACCGGAGUGGACGCAUCACUGGUGUUCGGGUUGUCAUGCCAAUGGCACUGCCCGGUAGCUAAAUGCGGAAGAGAUAAGUGCUGAAAGCAUCUAAGCACGAAACUUGCCCCGAGAUGAGUUCUCCCUGACUCCUUGAGAGUCCUGAAGGAACGUUGAAGACGACGACGUUGAUAGGCCGGGUGUGUAAGCGCAGCGAUGCGUUGAGCUAACCGGUACUAAUGAACCGUGAGGCUUAACCUUACAACGCCGAAGGUGUUU